CGGGGAAUUUUGUACAAUGGGGGGAACCUUGCUGCAGCGACGCCGCGUGAGGGAUGGAGGCCUUCGGGUGGUGAACCUCUUCCGUUCGUGUGCAAGCCGCUACUUGGGUAGUGGUGAGUGUAGCGGGUAAAGAAGCGCCGGCUAACUACGUGCCAGCAGCCGCGGUACUACGUAGGGCGCGAGCGUUGUCCGGACUUAUUGGGCGUAAAGGGCUUGUAGGCGGUUUGUCGCGGCUGUGGUGUAAUCCUCUGUCUUAACUGGGGGUGUGCGGUGGGUACGGGCAGGCUUGGGUGCGGUAGGGGAGGUUGGAAUUCGUGGUGUAGCGGUAGACUGCGCAGAUAGCAGGAGGAACACCGGUGGAGGAGGCGGGUCUCUGGGCCGUUACUGACGCUGAGGAGCGGAAGCGUGGGGAACGAACAGG
RNAcentral lists this ribosomal RNA (421 nucleotides) under Fusobacteriota bacterium. RNAcentral describes it as "Fusobacteria bacterium partial 16S ribosomal RNA". It matches the Rfam family "Bacterial small subunit ribosomal RNA", at positions 355 to 776 of the family's 1533-position model. The record is from RNAcentral. Lineage: Bacteria; Fusobacteriati; Fusobacteriota.